RNAcentral lists this long non-coding RNA (235 nucleotides) under Dasypus novemcinctus (nine-banded armadillo). RNAcentral describes it as "lncRNA (ENSDNOG00000052529.1)". Lineage: Eukaryota; Metazoa; Chordata; Mammalia; Cingulata; Dasypodidae. The record is from RNAcentral.
CGGACGCGGUGGGUGGGCGGGGACUCGGCGGAGCCUCGUUCCCCGCAAACCCCCAGGGGCUGUAGCGCCGAGGUGCCGCCCGAGUCGCAGUUUCUAGGAACUUCAUUCUCAAGUGUUAGUCCUUGAAAAAAGUUGCUGCUUAUAUCCCGCCAUUGGUGGCCCAUCGUCUUUACGAGGAUUAUGUAAGUGACCUCCGUGCCGUUGCUCUCUCUGACCAGUCAAGCAUGAUUGUGAG